RNAcentral lists this transfer RNA (76 nucleotides) under Rhizobium phage RHph_Y1_11. RNAcentral describes it as "tRNA-Ile". It matches the Rfam family "tRNA". From Rfam's summary of the family: Transfer RNA (tRNA) molecules are approximately 80 nucleotides in length. Lineage: Duplodnaviria; Heunggongvirae; Uroviricota; Caudoviricetes. The record is from RNAcentral.
GUUGAUCAUAGCUCAACUGGAUAGAGCAACAGACGUAUAAUCUGUAGGUUCCGGGUUCGAUCCCCGGUAUCAAAUC